GACAUAAUCGUGCAUAGAGAGCGGAGUCAACAUAGGACCGUGGAUUCUCGAGCACGCGACCAUUUUUACAAUUACCAGCGAAAUUUAUUAUAAUUGAGAGUUAAAUUGAUCUUAAAGUGGUGUCGAUACGCUUCCGGUUUUGGUUCCUUAUUGGAAGGAAGUUGGAAGAGUGCAGAGAUUAUCGCAGAGGAUCAUGGCGACGUUCUAUCUUUUGGACAUCCUUGGAAUUUCAUUGCUGUUGCACUUGAGCUUUAGUAUAUUGCUACUGGUCAUUUUGGUGCCUUUUAUGCUACUCGUUUAUCCGGUGUUAAAAUGGUUAAGAAAGGGUUGGAUACGUUUCGUAAAAUGGAAAUAUCCGAACGUGGUCGUGGUGGAAGAGAACAACAUUCGAACGAUCCUGGAUCAAUUUCGAAAUCACGGGAUUUGUACUUUGCUGAUACAAAGUCGCUCGAUCGCAGAAGGUAUUCGCGGCCACUUGGUACAUCUGACUACAUCCAGAAGGUUUCUUCGCGCAGGAUUAUCUACGAGAUGGGGUCUUUACGUAUGGAAGGAUCUUGAUUAUUUCUCCGUGGAUAAUCACUUGUUAAAUUCACCGUGUUCCUUCAGAGGUCGACCCAUCACAGAGUUCAACAUUCAGGACUAUGUGAGCGAUCUCACGUCGAAAUUCUUUCCAUUCGGACAACCACCGUGGCAGGUGCACGUAAUAAACUGUCUUCUUCGUGGAGAGGAGUACCAAAUCUGUCUGGUGAGGGUUCAUCAUCUGCUCCUUCAACAAGAACACCUAGCGUUGACCGACUUCCUUCCAUUGAGAUAUUCUACUGACAGUUGGGCGUGUCAGGAAGCGGACUCUCCUUUCACGAAUCUUUACUCGGAGCCAUCGGCACUUCCAAAACUUUAUCAGAAACUCACGGAGAGCUUCAGUAAUUAUUGGAACGAAUUUUUGUACAAUAACGAUCCAAACGAGAGACCAGAAAUCCUGAAGAAGCAGAUUGGUAUUUUUCAAUGCUUGAAAAUCGCUGUCAUCGUUUUAGUCUCUUCGGUGAAAGAGAUGACAAGACAGUACAGGAAAGGAGAGGGACCCAGAUUUCUCGACAUUUUCUCCAUCUUACAGCGAGAAGCCAGUAAACGAAACGUCGGUCAUACCGUCUUUCUACACGCUCUAUUAAAAUCUUUGAACCCUCUGCAAUUCUUCUGCGAUGCCAUCCUAUGGUGUUGGUAUCUAGCAGUCGUUAUAACUCUGAAAACGCCGAUAUUACUUAUCCGAGAGUUACAAGCUUUGAAAUCACGUCACAAACAUUAUCAUUCGGAUACUCUGACUUCUAUGUUAUGGUGCUACGUUCCUUUGAUAUAUCAAGCCACCAUAGAGGUGGUUUCCAUAGCGUGGAUUGCUAUAAAAGCGCCGAAGACAAUUUUCGAAGAAUUAUUUCUGAAGCAUCCGCAAGCCAAUCGACUUCAAAUUACGUCCCCUUGCGGACGAAAAGUAGUUGCUUGGUCGGAGGAGAUCAAACUCGAUGUUCUACGAAAAAUCUCGUCUAUGACAGGAGCGACAGAGGCGGAAGUUUUGUUAGCCGCUACGGUAGAUUCUCUUAAGGAAUACUUUCGCCAUUCUGGCGUUAGAAUACCGGACGAUGUGCUCGCCACUGGCAAAUUUGUCGAACAGAGGGCCAUAUUUCUGCGGAAUCACCAAGCCAGAGGCAUUUUGUGUCUUGCGCUUCCUACAAAGACUCCGCUAUUCGAAGAUGAUCUGGUGGAAAUCUUACAGGUUAUUCAGAAAAAUGUGCGCGAGGCAAGAGCAAAGCAAAGUGCGAUGUACGCCAUAACGGCAGCUGAAGAGUCUUGCGGAUUGAUUUCCUCCUGUUUGCCGUCGUUACUGCUCAAAGUGAUGUUAAAUCAGUUAACGAGAAGGUAUUCCCUCUCCUUGACACAUGUCAACGGAGAUGUGCCCGUAGAAGGCGUGGACGCGAUGAUGUAUUGGCGACCCCCUCAAGGCAACUGCAAUAUGUCGAUAACCCUACACAGGUACGGAAGCGGUGUGCGGCUAGGUGUGAUGGGCGACGCGUUAAUCGGUCCUGAACACGCCGUUAUCACGAGGACUUUCCCGAAAAGCAUGGAGAAUCUCGCGAACGUAGUUGGAGUUCCUAGAAUUCCCAGCAGAAACUCAACUCCGAGUCCAGUUAAUCCGAGUACUUCACCGGGACAUUAAAAAUGUACGGAGGCUAUGUAGAAUAGGUCACAUGUUUGUCUCCUGAGAAGAUAAAUCCGCGUUUUUUUCUCGGAAAUCGUGCGAAACUGCGAAUUCGAAAUUGAAAGCGAAAUUGAACUGGAUACCGGACCUUUAGAGGAAGACUUGUAUGUAGAAUUUAUUAACUCUGUCGGAUAAUAUUUAUAACUAUCUACGAUUGUCAUAUAUUUAAAAGAAAAAAAUUUCCAAUUUUUUUUUGGAAAUAGAUAAGCAAGAAAUAACGAAAAAGAUUGUGGCGGUGAUAUUUGUUACUUUUUUAUAAAUUUGUGAUGCAACGCUAUUUCUGUCUCCGUCCUUUUUGAUAUUAUCUUUUUUUUCAGCCACAUUCGAAUAAAUAAAAAUAAUCUGUUUCUUUCAACAUAUUGUAAGUAUAUAUAUUUAUACAAAUAUAUACAUUCGUAUCUAAUUUAUACAUACACUUUCAGCAAUUUAUAUUUUGCGGCAAUGCAUAACGCAUUAUAAAGAUUAAGAAAUUAAAUCUCCUUCUUAUUACUUGUUACAAUGGUUUCUAGUUUUUAAGUAUUAUACGUUACAACUGUUACAGUUGACAGAAGAUAUUUCAUUUUUUUAACAAGACAUUUCUUUCCAUGAAUCACAACUUUCGUUUUAGCUUGACUUUGCAUAAACAGAACAACGUUAGGGAAGUUAAUUUGACAAUUUGAUUCCCAUCUUUGUAUCGAGUAUUUAAAAAGUUGUCAAUUUUGAUGAAAAUUAAUUACAAAAGGGAUCAUUUAUCAGGACCUUGUCAUUUUAAUUAACAAAAUUAUGUUAUUUAACGAGAAGAGUGUCACGAUUUCAAAACUGUUUAACGCUACACUUAGAUUAUCCUAAUUAAUAGUAAGCGACGUAACUAAACAAUAUUUGACUAAAAAAUAAUAUAUAUCAAGGCUAAAAAAUUAUUAUCUAAAUUUUAAAAGGAAAUAAAUGCUUCCAUCGCUGGUUAGGUUAUUAAUUACUUCCUGUUUAAAAAUUUCUAUUUCAUACCAAUGUGUUUCGAAAAAUUUACUUUUCCUAAUUGUGCCAUUUUUUCACAAACUCACGAUAUACAUGCGAAAUUGAGAUCAAGACAAAAAGAACCGUAAUUCCAUUAGUUUUCGAAAAUAAAUUAUUAAAGCUUCUGCAUGAGUCAAAUUGUAAGUCACAUGUAUGCUAUAGGGCGCAUACUCUAGUACCUCAUUGUGAGUGCACAUAUACAAAUAUUAGCGAUGAUACGUUAUACAUUGCAUAUGUACAUACGUAUACCUUAUAAAAAACGUAACACAUUGUACACAACGUUAAAGUCGUACGUAAUUCGUAGGCAAAAAUUAAAAUUGAAUAACUCUUUCUUAUGUUAUGAUAUAGUACUAUAGAAUGAUGUAAUAUUAUUAUAGUUACUUACUAAUAUUCUUU
This is an RNA transcript of Bombus impatiens (common eastern bumble bee), 3631 nucleotides long. RefSeq lists it as uncharacterized. The record is from RefSeq and is a predicted model, not a curated record. Lineage: Eukaryota; Metazoa; Arthropoda; Insecta; Hymenoptera; Apidae. The transcript has 9 exons.